GUGCCAGCAGCCGCGGUAAAACGUAGGACGCAAGCGUUAUCCGGAAUUACUGGGCGUAAAGCGCGUGUAGGUGGUUUUAUAAGUCACUGUUGAAAGCUCCCGGCUAAACUGGGAGAGGUGCGGUGAGACUGUAGAGCUAGAGUUUGGGAGAGGGGUGCGGAAUUCCGGGUGUAGUGGUGAAAUGCGUAGAGAUCCGGAGGAACACCAGAGGCGAAGGCGGCACCCUGGCCUAAUACUGACACUGAGACGCGAAAGCAUGGGGAGCGAACGGGAUUAGAAACCCCAGUAGUCC
This 292-nucleotide ribosomal RNA is filed under the name uncultured bacterium. RNAcentral describes it as "partial 16S ribosomal RNA". It matches the Rfam family "Bacterial small subunit ribosomal RNA", at positions 505 to 796 of the family's 1533-position model. The record is from RNAcentral.